RNAcentral lists this long non-coding RNA (381 nucleotides) under Mus pahari (shrew mouse). RNAcentral's name for it is "lncRNA (MGP_PahariEiJ_G0012567.1)". The record is from RNAcentral. Lineage: Eukaryota; Metazoa; Chordata; Mammalia; Rodentia; Muridae.
GCCAUUUUCGAGUGAUGCCUGAUCUCAUCAAUCUAGCGGGAGGGAAGGGAUAACCUGUCCGAGCGUAGCGCGACGCUAGGAUCGCGCCGGAAAACCCCCCAAAAAAUCAUCAAAAAAUUUAACUUAGACCAAAGGGCAGUCGGCGGGGCUUCGCCAGAUGCGGCGCAGUCGAUUCUAACUGUUAGAAGAGUACCAAUUCUGGAAAACAACCAAAGUUUCUUUGAAUGAAUGCCCACGUAAUGCAUUGGAAUAUAAUAAGAGAUUAAGGUUUAACAAUGUUAAAAUGAAGAUAUUACUAAAAUGGCCCUCUAAAUAGCCCAACAAUUAUUAUUUUCAUUAUCCUAUGAAUUUGGCUUUGAAAGGUGUGCUGCUCUUAAUAAG